GAAAGACUCUCGGCAACGGAUAUCUCGGCUCUUGCAUCGAUGAAGAACGUAGCGAAAUGCGAUACUUGGUGUGAAUUGCAGAAUCCCGUGAACCAUCGAGUCUUUGAACGCAAGUUGCGCCCGAAGCCAUUAGGCCGAGGGCACGCCUGCCUGGGUGUCGCCCA
Molecule: ribosomal RNA, 164 nt
Filed under: Crotalaria atrorubens
Lineage: Eukaryota; Viridiplantae; Streptophyta; Magnoliopsida; Fabales; Fabaceae
Also listed under: 2 other names
Description: 5.8S ribosomal RNA
Rfam family: 5.8S ribosomal RNA
About the family: 5.8S ribosomal RNA (5.8S rRNA) is a component of the large subunit of the eukaryotic ribosome. It is transcribed by RNA polymerase I as part of the 45S precursor that also contains 18S and 28S rRNA. Functionally, it is thought that 5.8S rRNA may be involved in ribosome translocation.
Source: RNAcentral